UACGUAGGGCGCGAGCGUUAAUCGGAAUUACUGGGCGUAAAGCGUGCGCAGGCGGUUCGUUGUGUCGGCGGUGAAAGCCCCGGGCUUAACCUGGGAAUGGCCGUUGAAACUGGCGAACUGGAGUGUGGCAGAGGGGGGUGGAAUUCCGCGUGUAGCAGUGAAAUGCGUAGAGAUGCGGAGGAACACCGAUGGCGAAGGCAGCCCCCUGGGCUAACACUGACGCUCAGGCACGAAAGCGUGGGGAGCAAACAGG
RNAcentral lists this ribosomal RNA (253 nucleotides) under uncultured bacterium. RNAcentral's name for it is "partial 16S ribosomal RNA". It matches the Rfam family "Bacterial small subunit ribosomal RNA", at positions 524 to 776 of the family's 1533-position model. The record is from RNAcentral.